GGUGAAUGGUUGCUCAACUUCGUGGACCAGUUGAAGUUAGACAUUAACACCGUUGGAUGCCAGCUCAGUG
This 70-nucleotide transfer RNA is filed under the name Schistosoma mansoni. Lineage: Eukaryota; Metazoa; Platyhelminthes; Trematoda; Strigeidida; Schistosomatidae. The record is from RNAcentral.